RNAcentral lists this ribosomal RNA (433 nucleotides) under uncultured bacterium. RNAcentral's name for it is "bacterial SSU rRNA". It matches the Rfam family "Bacterial small subunit ribosomal RNA", at positions 29 to 507 of the family's 1533-position model. The record is from RNAcentral.
AACGAACGCUGGCGGCAGGCUUAACACAUGCAAGUCGAACGGGCUCUUCGGAGCUAGUGGCAGACGGGUGAGUAACGCGUGGGAACCUACCUAUAAGUACGGAACAACACAGAGAAAUUUGUGCUAAUACCGUAUGUGCUCUUUGGAGUAAAGAUUUAUCGCUUAUAGAUGGGCCCGCGUUAGAUUAGCUAGUUGGUGAGGUAAUGGCUCACCAAGGCGACGAUCUAUAGCUGGUCUGAGAGGAUGAUCAGCCACACUGGGACUGAGACACGGCCCAGACUCCUACGGGAGGCAGCAGUGAGGAAUAUUGGACAAUGGGGGCAACCCUGAUCCAGCCAUGCCGCGUGAGUGAUGACGGCCUUAGGGUUGUAAAGCUCUUUCGCUAGGGAAGAUAAUGACGGUACCUAGUAAAGAAGCCCCGGCUAACUUCGUG